UACGUAGGUGGCAAGCGUUGUCCGGAAUUAUUGGGCGUAAAGCGCGCGCAGGCGGUCCUUUAAGUCUGAUGUGAAAGCCCACGGCUCAACCGUGGAGGGUCAUUGGAAACUGGGGGACUUGAGUACAGAAGAGGAAAGUGGAAUUCCACGUGUAGCGGUGAAAUGCGUAGAGAUGUGGAGGAACACCAGUGGCGAAGGCGACUUUCUGGUCUGUAACUGACGCUGAGGCGCGCAAGCGUGGGGAGAACACAGGAGGAGAUAACCCCGUAGUCC
Molecule: ribosomal RNA, 273 nt
Filed under: uncultured bacterium
Lineage: Bacteria
Description: partial 16S ribosomal RNA
Rfam family: Bacterial small subunit ribosomal RNA
Source: RNAcentral